Molecule: ribosomal RNA, 253 nt
Filed under: uncultured bacterium
Lineage: Bacteria
Description: partial 16S ribosomal RNA
Rfam family: Bacterial small subunit ribosomal RNA
Source: RNAcentral
GACGGAGGGUGCAAACGUUGUUCGGAAUUACUGGGCGUAAAGCGAGUGUAGGCGGUUUGGAAAGUCGGAUGUGAAAGCCCCGGGCUCAACCCGGGAAGUGCACUCGAUACUCCCAAGCUAGAGUAUCGGAGAGGUUGGCGGAAUUCUCGGUGUAGAGGUGAAAUUCGUAGAUAUCGAGAGGAACACCGGCGGCGAAGGCGGCCAACUGGACGAAUACUGACGCUGAGACUCGAAAGCGUGGGGAGCAAACAGG